CUCAAAGAUUAAGCCAUGCAUGUCUAAGUAUAAGCAAUUAUACCGCGAAACUGCGAAUGGCUCAUUAAAUCAGUUAUCGUUUAUUUGAUAGUACCUUACUACUUGGAUAACCGUGGUAAUUCUAGAGCUAAUACAUGCUAAAAAUCCCGACUUCGGAAGGGAUGUAUUUAUUAGAUUAAAAACCAAUGCCCUUCGGGGCUCCCUGGUGAUUCAUAAUAACUUCUCGAAUCGCAUGGCCUUGCGCCGGCGAUGGUUCAUUCAAAUUUCUGCCCUAUCAACUUUCGACGGCUGGGUCUUGGCCAGCCAUGGUGACAACGGGUAACGGAGGGUUAGGGCUCGACCCCGGAGAAGGAGCCUGAGAAACGGCUACUACAUCCAAGGAAGGCAGCAGGCGCGCAAAUUACCCAAUCCCGACGCGGGGAGGUAGUGACAAUAAAUACUGAUACAGGGCUCUUUUGGGUCUUGUAAUUGGAAUGAGUACAAUUUAAAUCCCUUAACGAGGAACAAUUGGAGGGCAAGUCUGGUGCCAGCAGCCGCGGUAAUUCCAGCUCCAAUAGCGUAUAUUAAAGUUGUUGCAGUUAAAAAGCUCGUAGUUGAACCUUGGGCCUGGCUGGCCGGUCCGCCUCACCGCGUGCACUGGUCCGGCCGGGCCUUUCCCUCUGGGGAACCGCAUGCCCUUCACUGGGUGUGCUGGGGAACCAGGACUUUUACUUUGAAAAAAUUAGAGUGUUCAAAGCAGGCCUAUGCUCGAAUACAUUAGCAUGGAAUAAUAGAAUAGGACGUGUGGUUCUAUUUUGUUGGUUUCUAGGACCGCCGUAAUGAUUAAUAGGGACAGUCGGGGGCAUCAGUAUUCAAUUGUCAGAGGUGAAAUUCUUGGAUUUAUUGAAGACUAACUACUGCGAAAGCAUUUGCCAAGGAUGUUUUCAUUAAUCAGGAACGAAAGUUAGGGGAUCGAAGACGAUCAGAUACCGUCGUAGUCUUAACCAUAAACUAUGCCGACCAGGGAUCGGACGAUGUUAUUUUUUGACUCGUUCGGCACCUUACACGAAAGUACAAGUUUCUGGGUUCUGGGGGGAGUAUGGUCGCAAGGCUGAAACUUAAAGCG
This 1105-nucleotide ribosomal RNA is filed under the name Bullimyces communis. RNAcentral's name for it is "SSU rRNA". It matches the Rfam family "Eukaryotic small subunit ribosomal RNA", at positions 36 to 1151 of the family's 1831-position model. Lineage: Eukaryota; Fungi; Ascomycota; Sordariomycetes. The record is from RNAcentral.